CACACGUUAACGUUGUGUUUAAAUAAACAAACUGUUUCCAUAUCAGCGCCUUGAGAGACCACUUUAUCCGUCUUGGAGAGUGGCACUGCACGGCCGAGGCGUAACAUUUUGAAAGGUUGUGUUCAGUAGAUAGCCACAGAAAGCAGGGAUCCGUUAACACACCGCGAUUUCUAAAGUGGAGAAUAAAACUACUGAAAAGUUUUGUUAUCGAAGGAACCAUUGGAGUACAUUGUGAGCAGCAAGAAGCCAUUCAACUCCGACCGCCGGUGCGAAGGCUCCAUGGCAUAAAGCCUGUCCUCAGAUACAGCUGGUCCGUUGGGAGAACUGCCGACGGAGCUCACGACUCUGACGCCCCGCUGCUAAUUUCCACAGCCUGAGGGGAACCAGGAAGCAGCCGGCAGGAGCCAUGCCUGCCCUGGCUACCGGAGCCGGACACGAGCCAGGUCUGUACGAGCUGCUGGCGGCUCUGCCCUCCCAGCUGCAGCCCCAUGUCAGCCGCCCGGAGGACAACAUCUUCCUCCAGGACAUGUUUGGGGAGAGAAGCCUCCACUCGCUGGUCAAGGU
Sander lucioperca (pikeperch) is the source of this 564-nucleotide long non-coding RNA. RefSeq lists it as uncharacterized. NCBI's taxonomy places the organism in Eukaryota, Metazoa, Chordata, Actinopteri, Perciformes, Percidae. The record is from RefSeq and is a predicted model, not a curated record. The transcript is spliced from 3 exons.